UCGGCAGAAACUAAUAAAGAAGAAGAAGAAGAAGAACAAAUAGAAAAUUAAAGAUCAUUUAAAAGGUUUUGAACGACUAUUAAUCAUCGCGUUUCGUUUGAAUUCUUUGAUUUCCCGCCACUUAAAAUGGCGUCGUCUCCCGAGCGGUGGUCCACCGCAGACGUAAACGUUCAUCUUCCUAAACGAUUUGGGUGGUCCAGAAUACGCAUAGGUUUCUUCGAAAAAAGAAAUGAAAGAUGAUUGUAUUACAAUGAUUAAAAGCGCGAUUUCGCGCGUUCCUCGUUUUUAUUAAUUGAAACGUUAAAAGUGCCGGAUUCAAAUAAAGAAGCAAUGGAGGGACGAAGAAUUAUUAAUUAGGAGACGAGAGGAACGAUGGAAUACGAAAUUCGCCAACAAGACGGUGGACGUUCGUCUGUUCGUUAUUACUGACCGUUCGCAAAAGGUUAAUAAAGGAAGAAAAAACAAGAGGAAGAGGAGGAGCUGAAAAACAAUGGUUCAUUAGGUAUCCAAAAAAUGAAGAGAGAACAGAAAAGACUGAACGAUGACGUAGGAGGAGGAAAGAAAGAAAGAAAGAGAGAAAGGGAUAUUUAACGUAGCAGCAUGCUUGGAUCGUUGCGUUGGCGAGGGCGAGAAAGAGACAGGAAGAGAGAGAGGGAGAGAGGAGAAAGAGUAAGAGAGAGAAGAGAAUAAAAAGAGAAAGAUAUAGUGGUACUGGGGAGAAGAGUGGGAGCAGAGCCAAGCUGUCUGCUGACUCUGGCGAUCUCCGAGUGCCGAGGAGGCGAGCGCUCCUACGACGACAUUAAGUAAUAUCCCGAAGUCCUUUCUUCGAACGGCUUCCAACACAGUCUUACUACGUGCCGCGCCGACUCGUUUUUCAAGGACAAUGGAUUUAUCCGCGAACGCAUUCGCGCGGAAAAGGCGUCACGCUUGCAUUCCACGCGUUGCAGCGUACCAGAGCAUUAUGCCAACAACAUCAAAAGAGAGACUGCUGCUGCUGCUAUUGCUACUGCUAUUGCUACUGCUAAUGCUGUUAUUACUGUUACUCUUACUCUUGUAGUUGCUCUUUCCUCUUUCUGUUGUUGUUAAUGGUUUCGGAUUAUCCGCUCGUUAAAGUUACCUGCUAAAAUGCAUCCCCCCCCCCCGAAAGAUAACAUCGUCAACUUGAAAACUAUUAUCUCUGAUGUGUCUAUUUUUCUUUCUUCCUUUGUAUCUUUCUUUUAUUUUCAGCACCUUAUUCUACCCUAUAUCGUUUUCUAUCUUCCACAGGUCUAGCUACAUCAAAGGCACUCAGGUAAAGCAACAGCUCGACCCAAAUGGAAAGGAAAAUGUGGUUAGGGAAGAGGCACUUUCGAGAAGAGGACCUCCCACGCGCUCCGACAAAAUGCCUUUCCUCUGACCCCUUCAAUUCGAAUUCUUUUAUCUCUCUCUUUUUCUUUUUCUCUUUCUCUUCAGAUGUAACUCAUUCUUUCUCAUUUCUAGGAUAUGCAAUAUGAGAUGAAAUAAAUUUCGCGCCCACGACCGAUUGAUUACCAUUUCUAUAUGAAAGAGAAAAAUAUACACGGUUGUGGCGCGAAGAUCAUCAAUACAGAGAGUGAAGAAAAUCAACAGGAGUAGUAGCAACAGCAACAGCAACAGAUACAGCAGUAACAGUAGCAGCAGCAAGAGCACGUCAUCGUCCAAAGUAAUCGAGCCAUGAGAUUCUAAACGAAGAAGAUGAAGACGAAGAGGACGACGAUGAUAAGAGGAAGGAAGUGGGUCGAAGUGGAUUCUUGGACAGAAGAUCCAAAUGGGAAAGAUGUUCAUUAAAAUGAGAUAGAUAGAUAGAUAUACAGAUAAAUAAUAGAUAGAUAAAUAGAGAAAGAGAAAUAAGGAAAGAGUGA
This 1880-nucleotide long non-coding RNA is filed under the name Polistes canadensis. RNAcentral describes it as "uncharacterized LOC106785346". The record is from RNAcentral. Lineage: Eukaryota; Metazoa; Arthropoda; Insecta; Hymenoptera; Vespidae.